AUACGGAGGGUGCAAGCGUUACUCGGAAUCACUGGGCGUAAAGCGCGCGCAGGCGGGCUGUUAAGUUGGAUGUGAAAGCCUACGGCUCAACCGUAGAACUGCAUCCAAAACUGUCAGUCUAGAGUGUGGGAGAGGAAGAUGGAAUUAGUUGUGUAGGGGUAAAAUCCGUAGAGAUAACUAGGAAUACCAAAAGCGAAGGCAAUCUUCUGGAACACUACUGACGCUGAGGCGCGAAGGCGUGGAGAGCAAACAGGAUUAGAAACCCCUGUAGUCC
This 274-nucleotide ribosomal RNA is filed under the name uncultured bacterium. RNAcentral describes it as "partial 16S ribosomal RNA". It matches the Rfam family "Bacterial small subunit ribosomal RNA", at positions 523 to 796 of the family's 1533-position model. The record is from RNAcentral.